Molecule: ribosomal RNA, 591 nt
Filed under: Sarcocystis fayeri
Lineage: Eukaryota; Apicomplexa; Conoidasida; Eucoccidiorida; Sarcocystidae
Also listed under: 1 other name
Description: SSU rRNA
Rfam family: Eukaryotic small subunit ribosomal RNA
Source: RNAcentral
GACAAGAAAUAACAACACUGGAAAUUUCAUUUCUAGUGAUUGGAAUGAUGGGAAUCCAAACCCCUUUCAGAGUAACAAUUGGAGGGCAAGUCUGGUGCCAGCAGCCGCGGUAAUUCCAGCUCCAAUAGCGUAUAUUAAAGUUGUUGCAGUUAAAAAGCUCGUAGUUGGAUAUCUGCUGGGAGCAAUCGGUCCGCCCUUUUACAGGGGUGUGCACUUGAUGAAUUCUGGCAUGUUUUUAUCUAUUUCCUAAUGAUAAUGAUUAUUAUUAGGUUAAUUCCUAAUAAUAAUUAUUAUUGGGUUAGAUAAACCGUUACUUUGAGAAAAUUAGAGUGUUUAAUGCAGGCUGUUUUAUGCCUUGAAUACUGCAGCAUGGAAUAACAAUAUAGGAUUUCGGUUCUAUUUUGUUGGUUUUUAGGACUGGAAUAAUGGUUAAUAGGGACAGUUGGGGGCAUUCGUAUUUAACUGUCAGAGGUGAAAUUCUUAGAUUUGUUAAAGACGAACUAAUGCGAAAGCAUUUGCCAAAGAUGUUUUCAUUAAUCAAGAACGAAAGUUAGGGGCUCGAAGACGAUCAGAUACCGUCGUAGUCUUAAC